GUUGAACCUCGGAUCAGGUAGGGAUACCCGCUGAACUUAAGCAUAUCAAUAAGCGGAGGAAAAGAACCAACAGGGAUUGCCUUAGUAACGGCGAGUGAAGCGGCAAUAGCUCAAAUUUGAAAGCUGGCGUCUUCGACGUCCGCGUUGUAAUUUGUAGAGGAUGCUUCGGUGAGGACUCCUGCCUAAGUCCCCUGGAACGGGGCGUCACAGAGGGUGAGAAUCCCGUAUGUGGCGGGCGCUCCAAGCCAUGUGAAGCUCCUUCGACGAGUCGAGUUGUUUGGGAAUGCAGCUCCAAAUGGGAGGUAAAUUUCUUCUAAAGCUAAAUAUUGGCCAGAGACCGAUAGCGCACAAGUAGAGUGAUCGAAAGAUGAAAAGCACUUUGGAAAGAGAGUUAAAAAGUACGUGAAAUUGUUGAAAGGGAAGCGCUUGCAACCAGACUCGCUCGCAGUUGCUCAGCCGGCCUCUUGGCCGGUGUACUCUCCUGCGAUCGGGCCAGCAUCAGUUCGGGCGGCCGGAUAAAGGUGCCGGGAACGUAGCACCCUUCGGGGUGUG
Molecule: ribosomal RNA, 552 nt
Filed under: Botryosphaeria sp. BCA-1
Lineage: Eukaryota; Fungi; Ascomycota; Dothideomycetes; Botryosphaeriales; Botryosphaeriaceae
Description: eukaryotic LSU rRNA
Rfam family: Eukaryotic large subunit ribosomal RNA
Source: RNAcentral